This 254-nucleotide ribosomal RNA is filed under the name uncultured bacterium. Its description in RNAcentral is "partial 16S ribosomal RNA". It matches the Rfam family "Bacterial small subunit ribosomal RNA", at positions 524 to 776 of the family's 1533-position model. The record is from RNAcentral.
UACGUAGGGGGCGAGCGUUGUCCGGAUUUAUUGGGCGUAAAGAGCUCGUAGGCGGUUCGAUAAGCCGGAUGUGAAAUCUCCACGCUCAACGUGGAGGGUGCAUUCGGUACUGUCGUGACUAGAGUCAGGUGGAGGAGUGUGGAAUUCCUGGUGUAGCGGUGAAAUGCGCAGAGAUCAGGAGGAACACCCGUAGCGAAGGCGGCACUCUGGGCCUUGACUGACGCUGAGGAGCGAAAGCGUGGGUAGCGAACAGG